This 2555-nucleotide long non-coding RNA is filed under the name Triticum aestivum (bread wheat). RNAcentral describes it as "long non-coding RNA (TAES_LNC027022)". The record is from RNAcentral. Lineage: Eukaryota; Viridiplantae; Streptophyta; Magnoliopsida; Poales; Poaceae.
CGAUGGUAGUUUGAAGCAGAUUAGGCGGCCGCAAGCGUCUCUGGUGCCAAGGCUGUUGAGUAGAGGAUCUGGCCAUGUGGCAAUUCAUUUUCUAUUCUCCAUCCUUUAAGGUCAUAACAGAAGAAAUAACUAUGCAAUUGACUUGAUCACUAUUGUUUUAUCUAGAAAAAAAUAUGUUUUGUACGCAUGUAUUGAUGAGUACUCCUCUUGACUCGAUUGUGUUGCAAGGAGUGAAAGAAUCCAGUUGGGUGGUCUGCAGCUCUGAUCACCUCCAGCAUCACCACAUAAUCAAAGUUCCAAACAGUAGUGCUGCACUGCUACCUCCAGCCAGCAUUUCACUUUGAUGUUUAUAGGUGGCUUAACAUGAUCAUUUGAUGUGUAUCUUAUGUAGAAGAUUUGAAUGAUGUACGUGUUUAUUUUAGAAAACAUUUCUUAAUGACGCCUUGCAUAUAUACAAGACAGAUAUUCAUGUACAUUAGCUUUAGUUUUGUUUGUUAACUAGAAACUGUGGUUACCUUUUUUUAACCGAAAUCACUAAAGCAUGGGAUGCAUUUGGGGUUUCCAGAUAGCUAAUAUUAGGAGCACACAAGACUUAGACUACUGCUAUGUAACUAAAGGAAAUCAGAACAUUCACCAAUAUCCUCUGUAUAUUUUCUAGCCUUGAAUUCCUGACUUUUUCAUACAAAUUAUAAUUUGGAAACUUUAUUUAUAGGAAUGAUAAAUAGUAUGUACAAAUGCCUUUACUAAAAUUAAGCUUACAUUAGCCACAUGGAAGCCAACACAAUAUCACAUGUAAUAUUUCUUAGUUAGUCAAAAGUAUGCUUCUUUUAAAAUUUAUGGUUCUAAUAUUUUUUUCUCACAUAAAUAUGUUCCAGUUAUAUAUGGUAAACUAAAGCUGUUUAGCCCAUGCAGACGCACGGGUUAACGACUAGUCUAACUAACUCGGGGAUAAAUUCAUUGAUCCAGAUGUAAAAUUGCCAAGAUAGUAACUAGUACACAUAGAACAGGAGGAAUAUAGGUUGCUCUUCUUUUAUUAAGUACGAAUGGAUCUUGAUGAAGCUUUACUUCUUUAGCACUGUUCUAGAGAUGCAUGAGACACCUGUAACCUUUUUCCCUUGGUUUUGAAGCUACACGCACCAACUCGAUGUAUGGUGACUCCAUGGAGCAAGUCAAGUUCGUGGAGCAAGUCAUGGACGAUGCCAUGGAAGGUAUACUCUCUCCCUCUCCCUACCAUGGUACUGCUCAUUGUGUCCACGACCAUUGAGCCAUGCUAGGUUCUAUGCUGCUGUCCAUGAAAAUUUAUAGCAUUUGGGGCUGUAGGUUUCAGUGGAUUUAUUUAGCAAUAAAUAAUUCUGUUAGUUCACAGAAAACAAUUUGACUGUAGCUGUACAGAAUUAGCAAUGGAUCUCUAGGCUGGUGAUGACUAUGUAAAUUUGUUUCAGUGGAUAUGGGGCUGUAGUUUUGUUCCAAAGCGUGGUGAGCACCUUUAGGGUUUUUUUCAUGUUGGAUGACUGAAACCAACUAGAGCUAAAUGUUUUGGUUCAGUUUUAGAUGACAAACCGUUUUGGUUCAGUUUGCUAACUAAAUGGAGAAGAGAAAAGAAGUGGUACUAUCACUCACAUUGCCCUUGAAUGCACAUCAACACUUAGGCUACUCUCCAUAUAAUUUUAUUAAGCCAUGUUUUUCUGCAGGCUGUGUCAUAUAUUGUGGCGUCUUGAUUAAUCAUCAAUGACAACUAACACUCAUGUCGGUCUCUUUUCACAAUCACAAUAGGGACGUAGCUCUUGCUAUAGUUCUAAGUUGUGAUCCAAAAUUUAAGCUUGAUGAUGCUAAAAAUUACAAAUGAAUUCUUGGUAGUGCAUGUCGAUAUGGCACUUGUGAAAACUGAAGAUUUGGUAUGGAGUCGCAAAAGGUGAAAUACUCUUGAUAAUACAGAAAAAAAAGAAUACAUGACCUUCAACCUUCGUACAUGCCUGAUAUCCUGCUGCCUCUAUUACUACAUUCAUCAUGUCAAUGCAUUGUGUAUUAACAGUUCAUUUUGUUAUUUUCUUUAUAGAUUCAAAAUAUAUAUGGAUGAUUAUAAUGGUGCGUGGCAAGUAUAUUGCAAUGAUGAUGAUGUUCCGGUUCAUGAUGAUGAUGAUGUUCCGGUUCAUGAUGAUAAUGAUGGAUGCUAUCAGUUUUAGUUAAGUUGUAGGGAUGAUGUUCCUGUCUGAUGAUGUUCCCCAGUUAAGUUAGUUUAAGUUGUAGGGAUGUUGAAGGAUGCUUUCUAUUUAAGUUUCGCUGUCAAGAAAAUAUUUAGAUUAUGCAUCAAAUUUGGAUGAUGUUUCCCCUGCAAUAUCAACCAUUGUAAUCCAACAACUUUAUCCAAUAUAUGAUUUCUUUCUCUAAUGAGUAUAUUCUUUUUUUUCCACACUUCAUAUACAUAAUUACCACUGUUAUGUUGAGCAUUAAUUUAAUUGUUGGCAAUAUUAUUUACAUUAUAUAUGUAACAACACAUGAAGCGUUGAAAAAUCCUAGUUGCCAGAAAUGAGAUUUGGAUUCUUGUACAUUAAGCA